GGAGGAUCCAAGCGUUAUCCGGAAUCAUUGGGUUUAAAGGGUCCGUAGGCGGUCUUAUAAGUCAGUGGUGAAAUCUCCCCGCUCAACGGGGAAACGGCCAUUGAUACUGUAGGACUUGAAUUAUUAGGAAGUAACUAGAAUAUGUAGUGUAGCGGUGAAAUGCUUAGAGAUUACAUGGAAUACCAAUUGCGAAGGCAGGUUACUACUAAUGGAUUGACGCUGAUGGACGAAAGCGUGGGUAGCGAACAGGAUUAGAUACCCUGGUAGUCCACGCCGUAAACGAUGGAUACUAGCUGUUGGAAGCAAUUUCAGUGGCUAAGCGAAAGUGAUAAGUAUCCCACCUGGGGAGUACGUUCGCAAGAAUG
This 365-nucleotide ribosomal RNA is filed under the name uncultured bacterium. Its description in RNAcentral is "bacterial SSU rRNA". It matches the Rfam family "Bacterial small subunit ribosomal RNA", at positions 527 to 896 of the family's 1533-position model. The record is from RNAcentral.